Molecule: unclassified non-coding RNA, 1368 nt
Filed under: Leishmania donovani
Lineage: Eukaryota; Euglenozoa; Kinetoplastea; Trypanosomatida; Trypanosomatidae
Description: gene:LdHU3.30.4150(CDS-product:RNA-binding_protei n_42_(RNA-binding_motif_protein_42)_putative)
Source: RNAcentral
AAUCCAUUCUCUCUUUCCCUCGCCUCUCUGUGUGUCAUCUCCUUCUCGCUCUACUCUGUGCUUCUAAUUAAAGCCCCUCUUUCUAUUGUGAGCCCGUGUGACGGUCCCGUUUUUCCUCUUCCCCUUGCCGCUCCCUCUUUCUCUCAACUUGCGCGCCCUCCUGUCACGAGAGCCUCUUCUCAAAAUAUUGUGUGGGGCCCACGAAGACAACAUACAAGAGGAUGGCUGCCGCACAGCAGGUUGCGAACGCGUUCACCGUCGAUUUCGUCGAGCGUGUAGCAAAGAACGCGGCAAACAUUGCCGAUCUCUACGGCCGCCACGCCACCCUCACGGUCAACGACUUUGAGCUCGGAAUCUCUGAGGUGCACGACAGCUAUGUGCCGAUCGCCGUGCAGAAGUGGGCCGUCUCGCUGCAGGGCAGCCGCCUACGUGUGGACAGCGUUAAUGCCGCGCCCCUCUACGGUGGCGUAAACGUGUUCGUGACGAUGACCGCCUUUGGGGAGAUGCAGCAGUACUACCACAUCGUUACGACGCUGGAGUCCUUCCAGGACACCUACGGUAUGGACGGCUACUAUGUUCGUCACCAGGUCAUUGCCCGCAUCGGCGCCGUCACCCCGGAGCCGCCAGCGCCUGAGCCGACCCCGGCCGCCGCGGAGAAGUCGAAGUCGCCCACGCCUGAGCCUGAGGCGGCCCCUGCGCAGCCGGCGCCGAAGCCGGAGGCGGCCGAGGAGCCCGCGUCGGCCGCCGCCCCUGCGGAAUUGGAGGACGAGGAGGAGAAGCCCGCACCGGCGCCGGUGAGCAGCAAGCCGAAGAGCUGGGCUAGCCUGGUGAGCCGCGCCCCGGUGAAGACAGCUGAGCACAAGCCAAUGCGCGUGGUGGCCCACGAGGGUGGCAAGAAGCCGACGACUGAGCCUGCCGCCACGGCUGCGGCUGCGCCGGCGUCCAAGCGUCUGCCGCCGCGUGAGCGCAAGGUGUCAGAGGCUGUAGGUGACCGCCUCAUGUUCAACACGACCGGCUCCGUGACAGACGAUGAGAUCCGCGCCGCCCUCGGUCCAAUGUCUGCGCAUCUCGUGUCCCUGCGCAACAACUCAGCCAAGGGACACGUCUUUAUGGACUUUGCGGAGAAAGUCAACGUCUUUGAUGAGCUCUCCAAGGCGCAGCCCGUGAUAGGCGUCUCCAAGGUGAAGAUGAGCGUCUUUCGCCAGCGCGCCCGCGAGUAGGAAGACCGGAGGUGACAUGGUUGCUGCUCGUGUAGGAAUGGCCUCCUUUUUUCGCGUUUCUCCCUCCCUUCCUCGCGGCUAUGUCUCCUUCCUCCCUUGCCCCUCCCCCUCCCCUCCUUUUUUCGUUCUCCGCCACGACACACGCGAG